This 200-nucleotide unclassified non-coding RNA is filed under the name soil metagenome. Its description in RNAcentral is "partial contains internal transcribed spacer 2 and large subunit ribosomal RNA". The record is from RNAcentral.
CAUCAAGCUUGGCUUGUUAUUGGACCUCUAUGUCGGUGAAAUAGACGACAGGUUCGAAAAAUAAUGACGGUGUCAGUUGGACCCUCAAUGCAACGAGCUCUUUACACAGCACGCAUUGCAGGGCUUGGCUGGCCCGGUCGUCACCCAUCAUUUUCUCCACGGUUGACCUCGGAUCAGGUAGGAAUACCCGCUGAACUUAA